AACUGUGCCAUGACUAUCAGGCUCCUCCGCUACGUGGCCUUUUAUUUUCUGGGGGCAGGCCUCAUGGAAGCUGACAUCUACCAGACCCCAAGACACCUUGUUAUAGGGACAGGAAAGAAGAUCACUCUGGAAUGUUCUCAAACCAUGGGCCAUGACAAAAUGUACUGGUAUCAACAAGAUCCAGUAAUGGAACUACACCUCAUCCACUAUUCCUAUGGGGUUAAUUCCACAGAGAAGGGAGAUCUUUCCUCUGAGUCAACGGUCUCCAGAAUAAGGAUGGAGCAUUUUCCCCUGACCCUGGAGUCUGCCAGGCCCUCACAUACCUCUCAGUACCUCUAUGCCAGCAGUGAAUACACAGUGCUACAUGGAUACCGACACUCUGCACAGAAAGGGUCACCUCUAAGGUGAGGACAUCUUGCCUCCAGAAACUUCAUCUUAAACUACAGAAACCCCUGCAAAUCUUCCCAGACUCCUCAGCUUUGAGGGACCAGUGUGCUUUAAGUAACAGUCUGGACUAAAGACUAUUUCUGGCUCAGUCUCUAACAAGCUGAGAAAUGACCCAGCCCCACAAUCAUCCUAGCUGACUUUUUCCUUGCCUCUAGUUGUUAUUGUUCAAUUGAGCUUGCACAAAUUUUAUCCUUCAAGAUAAAUGUGAUAAUAUUUGACAGUUACCUUAUGGCUAGCUGAAGAAAGUCUUUGUCAGCUAAGAAACAGGAAAAGGAUCAUUUGACUUUCUGCACAGGCUGUCUUUAUCUCUGGUUCAUGGU
Pongo pygmaeus (Bornean orangutan) is the source of this 767-nucleotide non-coding RNA. The record is from the annotation of a RefSeq genome assembly. NCBI's taxonomy places the organism in Eukaryota, Metazoa, Chordata, Mammalia, Primates, Hominidae.